Molecule: ribosomal RNA, 906 nt
Filed under: uncultured Bacillota bacterium
Lineage: Bacteria; Bacillati; Bacillota
Description: bacterial SSU rRNA
Rfam family: Bacterial small subunit ribosomal RNA
Source: RNAcentral
UGGAUCCAGACUUUGAUUAUGGCUCAGGACGAACGCUGGCGGCGUGCCUAACACAUGCAAGUCGAACGAAGCUUGAUUUAUGAUUUCUUCGGAAUGAAUAAUGAUAUGACUGAGUGGCGGACGGGUGAGUAACGCGUGAGCAACCUGCCCUUCGGAACGGGAUAGCGUCUGGAAACGGACGGUAAUACCGUAUAACGUAUUUUUACCGCAUGAUAGAAAUACCAAAACUGAGGUGCCGAAGGAUGGGCUCGCGUCUGAUUAGAUAGUUGGUGGGGUAACGGCCUACCAAGUCGACGAUCAGUAGCCGGACUGAGAGGUUGAACGGCCACAUUGGGACUGAGACACGGCCCAGACUCCUACGGGAGGCAGCAGUGGGGAAUAUUGCACAAUGGGGGAAACCCUGAUGCAGCAACGCCGCGUGAAGGAAGACGGUUUUCGGAUUGUAAACUUCUGUUCUUGGUGAAGAUAAUGACGGUAGCUAAGGAGCAAGCCACGGCUAACUACGUGCCAGCAGCCGCGGUAAUACGUAGGUGGCAAGCGUUGUCCGGAAUUACUGGGUGUAAAGGGAGCGUAGGCGGGAAGCCAAGUCAGCUGUGAAAACUACGGGCUUAACCUGUAGACUGCAGUUGAAACUGGUUUUCUUGAGUGAAGUAGAGGUUGGCGGAAUUCCGAGUGUAGCGGUGAAAUGCGUAGAUAUUCGGAGGAACACCGGUGGCGAAGGCGGCCAACUGGGCUUUAACUGACGCUGAGGCUCGAAAGUGUGGGGAGCAAACAGGAUUAGAUACCCUGGUAGUCCACACUGUAAACGAUGAUAACUAGGUGUGGGGGGUCUGACCCCUUCCGUGCCGCAGCUAACGCAAUAAGUUAUCCACCUGGGGAGUACGACCGCAAGGUUGCAACUCAAAU